This 230-nucleotide long non-coding RNA is filed under the name Elaeis guineensis (African oil palm). Its description in RNAcentral is "long non-coding RNA (EGUI_LNC072990)". Lineage: Eukaryota; Viridiplantae; Streptophyta; Magnoliopsida; Arecales; Arecaceae. The record is from RNAcentral.
CUCGAACGAUGGUAAGUUCCGUCCGGACUCCUACAAGAGCCGGAUUCCAUCUCCAACCCCGGCUACGAACAAACUUCGUCUAAGCUCCUAUGGGAGCCGGACUUCGUCCCCAACUUCGAUUACAGAAAGACCUCAUCCGAGCUCCUACAGGUGCCGGACUUCGCUUCUGACUCUAGCUACAGACUCCAACCGAACUUCGGCCGACAAGUCUGGACCCCCUGGCAGGCCAC